AUAAGCGGAGGAAAAGAAACCAACAGGGAUUGCCUUAGUAACGGCGAGUGAAGCGGCAACAGCUCAAAUUUGAAAUCUGGCCUUUGGCCCGAGUUGUAAUUUGCAGAGGAUGUUUCUGGCGAGGUGCCUUCCGAGUUCCCUGGAACGGGACGCCAUAGAGGGUGAGAGCCCCGUACGGUUGGUCGCUAAGCCUCUGUGAAACUCCUUCGACGAGUCGAGUAGUUUGGGAAUGCUGCUCUAAAUGGGAGGUAUACGUCUUCUAAAGCUAAAUACCGGCUAGAGACCGAUAGCGCACAAGUAGAGUGAUCGAAAGAUGAAAAGCACUUUGAAAAGAGGGUUAAAUAGUACGUGAAAUUGUUGAAAGGGAAGCGCUUAUGACCAGACUUGGACCGGUUGAUCAUCCAUCGUUCUCGGUGGUGCACUCUGCCGGUUCAGGCCAGCAUCAGUUUGGCUUGGGGGAUAAAGGCUUCGGGAAUGUGGCUCCCCACGGGGAGUGUUAUAGCCCGUUGCGUAAUACCCUGGGCUGGACUGAGGUUCGCGCUCCGCAAGGAUGCUGGCGUAAUGGUCAUCAGUGACCCGUCUUGAAACACGGACCAAGGAGUCGUCUUCGUAUGCGAGUGUUCGGGUGUCAAACCCCUACGCGUAAUGAAAGUGAACGUAGGAGAGAGCUUCGGCGCAUCUCCGACCGAUCCUGAUGUUCUCGGAUGGAUUUGAGUAAGAGCAUACGGGGCCGGACCCGAAAGAAGGUGAACUAUGCCUGUAUAGGGUGAAGCCAGAGGAAACUCUGGUGGAGGCUCGCAGCGGUUCUGACGUGCAAAUCGAUCGUCAAAUAUGGGCAUGGGGGCGAAAGACUAAUCGAACCUUCUAGUAGCUGGNUUCCGC
RNAcentral lists this ribosomal RNA (882 nucleotides) under Hydropisphaera sp. DV-2018a. Its description in RNAcentral is "LSU rRNA". It matches the Rfam family "Eukaryotic large subunit ribosomal RNA", at positions 46 to 961 of the family's 3401-position model. The record is from RNAcentral. Lineage: Eukaryota; Fungi; Ascomycota; Sordariomycetes; Hypocreales; Bionectriaceae.